GGAAGGACUAGUGCUAAUGGGCCAUGAAGUGUGGGGUGUUGGAAGCAAAACGCAGGGCCCAUGAUCCACAACCAAAUAAGCCAGCAUGUGACAAAAUGAAAUAACAAUUUGUUUUAAAAAAUCAUGUGACAUAUGUAUCAAUUGGUCAUGUUGUUUUAAGUGACUAGAAGACAAAAACGCAUGGGCGGUCCAGAUUAAAAGAUGAGAAAGGGAUCUAACGGUUAUUCAAGCGCCACAUCAUCGUCUUCUUCA
This 252-nucleotide long non-coding RNA is filed under the name Lathyrus oleraceus (garden pea). RNAcentral describes it as "Pisum sativum (pea) long non-coding RNA (PSAT_LNC024327)". The record is from RNAcentral. Lineage: Eukaryota; Viridiplantae; Streptophyta; Magnoliopsida; Fabales; Fabaceae.